RNAcentral lists this long non-coding RNA (391 nucleotides) under Ficedula albicollis (Collared flycatcher). RNAcentral's name for it is "lncRNA (ENSFALG00000018773.2)". Lineage: Eukaryota; Metazoa; Chordata; Aves; Passeriformes; Muscicapidae. The record is from RNAcentral.
CUAGGAGCAGGAAUUAGCUUCAAAAGAAAGCCUGUAGGGCACAAUGCCUAUGUUAUAUAGGUACCAAGCUGAAGUUGGAGAGGAAAGGAAAGCUCUUCCUGAAAAUGCAGUAGUGCUGGAAUGUGCUGUAGAGACUCAGAUUGUUUUUCAGCUCUAGAGGCAUGUAUGGGAAUGUAGCAACAAUGAGGAGACUUGGACCCAGCACAGAGGAGUCUGAACAACAGAAGUUUGUUGGAGACUGGCAAAUACCUGUCCUAGCAGCUAGUUGGCUGAUUUGUCUUCACUUUGGUCCAAACACAGGUGUUUGUUGAAGUCAGUAGAUAAUGAAACUUCCACUGGAAAUGCUGCAAGUAGUUCACAGAUAUCACUUGUAGCAUGAGUAAAGUGAAAC